AUACUUACCUGGCUGGGGAGAUACCAUGAUCAUGAAGGUGGUUUUCCCAGGGUGAGGCUUAUCCAUUGCACUUUGGAUGUGUGGACUCUUGAGAUUUCCCCAAAUGUGGGAAACUCCAUUGCAUAAUUUGUGGUAGUAGGGGACUGUGUUUGUACUCUCUUCUA
RNAcentral lists this small nuclear RNA (164 nucleotides) under Dasypus novemcinctus (nine-banded armadillo). RNAcentral describes it as "U1 spliceosomal RNA (ENSDNOG00000043782.1)". It matches the Rfam family "U1 spliceosomal RNA". Rfam says of the family: U1 is a small nuclear RNA (snRNA) component of the spliceosome (involved in pre-mRNA splicing). Lineage: Eukaryota; Metazoa; Chordata; Mammalia; Cingulata; Dasypodidae. The record is from RNAcentral.